Molecule: unclassified non-coding RNA, 303 nt
Filed under: plant metagenome
Description: partial contains 5.8S ribosomal RNA, internal transcribed spacer 2, and large subunit ribosomal RNA
Rfam family: 5.8S ribosomal RNA (bases 1-105)
Source: RNAcentral
GAAAUGCGAUAAGUAGUGUGAAUUGCAGAAUUCAGUGAAUCAUCGAAUCUUUGAACGCACAUUGCGCCCCUUGGUAUUCCAUGGGGCAUGCCUGUUCGAGCGUCAUUUGUACCUUCAAGCUCUGCUUGGUGUUGGGUGUUUGUCUCGCCUCUGCGCGCAGACUCGCCUCAAAACAAUUGGCAGCCGGCGUAUUGAUUUCGGAGCGCAGUACAUCUCGCGCUUUGCACUCAGAACGACGACGUCCAAAAGUACAUUUUUACACUCUUGACCUCGGAUCAGGUAGGGAUACCCGCUGAACUUAAG